RNAcentral lists this ribosomal RNA (372 nucleotides) under uncultured organism. Its description in RNAcentral is "partial 16S ribosomal RNA". It matches the Rfam family "Bacterial small subunit ribosomal RNA", at positions 527 to 896 of the family's 1533-position model. The record is from RNAcentral.
GUAGGUGGCAAGCGUUGUCCGGAAUUAUUGGGCGUAAAGCGCGCGCAGGCGGUUCUUUAAGUCUGAUGUGAAAGCCCACGGCUCAACCGUGGAGGGUCAUUGGAAACUGGAGAACUUGAGUACAGAAGAGGAAAGCGGAAUUCCACGUGUAGCGGUGAAAUGCGUAGAGACGUGGAGGAACACCAGUGGCGAAGGCGGCUUUCUGGUCUGUAACUGACGCUGAGGCGCGAAAGCGUGGGGAGCAAACAGGGAUUAGAUACCCUGGUAGUCCACGCCGUAAACGAUGAGUGCUAAGUGUUAGGGGGUUUCCCGCCCCUUAGUGCUGCAGCUAACGCAUUAAGCACUCCGCCUGGGGAUACGGCCGCAAGGCUG